RNAcentral lists this ribosomal RNA (390 nucleotides) under uncultured bacterium. Its description in RNAcentral is "bacterial SSU rRNA". It matches the Rfam family "Bacterial small subunit ribosomal RNA", at positions 28 to 413 of the family's 1533-position model. The record is from RNAcentral.
GAUGAACGCUAGCGGCAGGCUUAACACAUGCAAGUCGAGGGGCAGCACGAGUAGCAAUACUUGGUGGCGACCGGCGCAAGGGUGCGUAACGCGUGAGCAACAUGCCCGUAUCAGGGGGAUAAUCCAGGGAAACUUGGUCUAAUACCCCAUAGUAAUCAUAUCAGGCAUCUGGUAUGAUUUAAAGCUUAGGUGGAUACGGAUUGGCUCGCGUGACAUUAGCUAGAUGGUAAGGUAACGGCUUACCAUGGCUAUGAUGUCUAGGGGUUCUGAGAGGAAGGUCCCCCACACUGGAACUGAGACACGGUCCAGACUCCUACGGGAGGCAGCAGUGAGGAAUAUUGGACAAUAGGAUGGAAAUACUGAUCCAGCCAUGCCGCGUGAGUGAAGAAG